AUCCAGCUGAUGAAUCCCAAAUAGGACGAAACGCGAGUCAUACAU
This is a non-coding RNA of Schistosoma haematobium, 45 nucleotides long. The record is from Rfam. NCBI's taxonomy places the organism in Eukaryota, Metazoa, Platyhelminthes, Trematoda, Strigeidida, Schistosomatidae.